CUACUACAAUCUUAACUCUCAGAUCUUAUAUCAGUUAUAUCCUGUUAAAGUCCUACUUUUUGAGUAUGGAUUGUCUUACCUCUGUGCGUACGUUUACUGUUAGCCUUCUUGAAAGCUUCCUGCUAUGCAAAGCCGGAAAUUCAAUUUGGUGUACAAUGGACAUGACUUAAGCAGAACAGCAUUUGUUUCAAAAACUCUGCCUUAUACCACGACACCUACAAAAUUACAUUUGGUUCUAUGAUGACAUCUAGAAGAAAAUUAUUGUAAGAUUGACUUCAACAUCAGUAAAUUACAAAAAAAAAAAAAAAAAAAAAAACAAUGACUCAUUUUGUUUGCCGGUAUCUUGAAAAUAUGAAUGAAACUUUAAGCAAGCUUUAGUCUACUGCAGAAAAGAAGUGAAGAGCACAAGGGUUGUCGCCCUUUAUGUGUUAACAAAGGAGAUGGAGAGACAUUGACAGUGGGUAACAUUUCUUGAAAAAUGUGACUGAUAUUGGACUCUGAUUCCUGGAUGAUGUAAUUCCUACAGCAUCAAGCAACGAUUAAUUACUUCCCAUUGUCUGCACGGUUAGUUUUUAAAGUAUUGUAAUACAGUGAAAUUGUGACAGUGCUGUCAUGUUGAGUCAGAUUCUGUAAUCAUUUCAGGUAGCUGAUCUUAUCUUUUCUAGAUAUAUAAUUUUUGAGAUGUUUGUAGGAAUAAGUGGUAACAAAUGCAUACUAAUAGACAUUUGAUUAAAUUAUGAAAAUAUCUUUGAUUUCUAUGUGAUUUCCUGAUUGCUGUAGUUUGCCAUGAAAGAAACACAAUGCAUUAUAUUAAUUUUAAAUAAACGAUGGAGCUCACUUGCAA
Long non-coding RNA from Protopterus annectens (West African lungfish), 844 nucleotides. RefSeq lists it as uncharacterized. NCBI's taxonomy places the organism in Eukaryota, Metazoa, Chordata, Ceratodontiformes, Protopteridae. The record is from RefSeq and is a predicted model, not a curated record. The transcript is spliced from 2 exons.